CAGAUAUAUCGUAUACAUUUUGAUCUUUCAUUAUAGAUAUGGAGCUUUAUAUACUAUGUUAUACCCAAGUGAAUGUGUAGCACUUUGAGAUUUUGGAUAUGUGGAUGUAUGCUCCUAGCAACAGAACUUGGUGUGCACUUCAUCAUAGGUACACGCACAACUUGACGAAGAAUUUUGAAAAAUCUCAAGAUUACGAGAAAAUCAUGAGAUUCUUCAAUAAUAUCUCCACCAAGUAUGAAAAGAGGAAAGAGAGAUUAAGAGCCUUGAAUAGAUGGAUAAGUGUCUUCCCUCCAACUUCUUUACAAAAUUAAAACGUAAAUCAAUGUUGAAUUUUUAAGGGUUGCUUUUAGUACAUCAUUAUUUUCUCUGAGAUGAUCUGCAUAGUAACAAGGCUAAAAUGUGAAGAGCUGUUCUGUUCUCAUCUGUAUUGGCAAUGUAGACAAUGGAACCUUUAUUUGCAGCAUGCAUGGUGAAGUGAACUUUGUUUCUCCAAGAUCACAUAUACCAUCUCUAAAAGAAAGUAAACAAGACGAUUUUCAAUUUUACUUGUAAUUAAGCAUGGAUAAUUAAGCAUUCAUAAAACAUAUUCUCCUGCUCACAAUAUAUAUUACGUACUUUCAGAAAGAGACAUAUACUAUUUAUUCACUAUUAGCCGUUGAUCCGCAACUGAGCCUCCCUUCUAUCCAAACAGUCAAUAAGCCAAACAAGCAGCUUGCGAGGCAUUUCAUUGAUCAACCA
RNAcentral lists this unclassified non-coding RNA (738 nucleotides) under Hevea brasiliensis (rubber tree). Lineage: Eukaryota; Viridiplantae; Streptophyta; Magnoliopsida; Malpighiales; Euphorbiaceae. The record is from RNAcentral.